UUCUCAUCUCAUGUAUUAUCAUGUUAUCAUACAAUUAUGCAAACACAGGGUGAACAUCUGCAAUUAAAUUUUGCAUGACUAGCAGCUUAGUAGGUCACCAUAUAUGAAUACAAGUGGCCUGGUGUCAUUGAUCUCCUCAACAUAUUCACAUUUCAUACUCCAAAUACUUUUGAACAUUCUUGACUCUUCUUCUUCUUCUUCUUCUUAUUCUUCAAAGAAAUGAAAAUGUCACACCCCAUAAGCCAAGCUAAUGAGAAUAGCCCAUACGGAGACCUCACUCGAGAAGAAUUUUACAAGAAGCAUCAAAUCAUUCACGAAGAAAGCUUCAUGCUUAACGAAAGGAAAAUGAAACUCUUCACCCAAACAUGGCGCCCUGAAUAUUGUGCCAACAACAACCACCUCCACCACCAGCAGUUCAAAGGGCUUGUAGCAAUGGUUCAUGGCUACGCUGCUGACAGCAGCUGGAUAUCUGAGCUCACUGCUGUAGCCAUAGCCAAACUCGGGUUCUUAGUUUGUGCACUUGAUCUUCAAGGCCAUGGCCAAUCUGAUGGCUACCCUGGUCACAUCCCUAACAUUCAACACAUUAUUCAAGAUUGCACACAAUUUUUUGACUCAGUCAAAUCCCAAAACCCUAAACUGCCUUCAUUUCUCUACGGCGAAUCGCUGGGAGGAGCCAUUUGCAUUCUUAUAUCUCUACAUCAAAAAUAUGGAUGGGAUGGUUUGAUUUUGAAUGGCUCAAUGUGUGGCAUUUCAUCAAAAUUCAAACCCACAAGGCCACUAGAGAAGCUGCUUCCUGUUGCUGCGUUAUUUGCACCGACUUGGAAAGUCGUUGUCACAAAGCCUGUGGCUAGUAAGUCAUUCAAGGAGGAAUGGAAGAGGAGAUUGGUGGCCAAAAACCCUAAUCGGAGGAGCUCAGGGAAGCCUCCAGCUGCGACUGCAUUGGAGUUUUUGAGGGUUUGUAAGUAUAUAGGGACGCAUUGCCACGAGCUAGAGGUUCCAUUGAUAAUUUUGCAUGGGGAAGAUGACGUUGUAUGUGAUCCUGAGGCUGAUAGGUUUGUGUAUGAAUCAGCUGCGAGCAAGAACAAAACAUUGAAGAUUUUGCAUGGGAUGUGGCAUAUGUUGAUUGGUGAGACUGGGGAAAAUGUGGAGCUUGUGUUUGGAACUAUUUUUUCUUGGAUACAAGAGAGGGCAGUCAAAGAUUUUCUUCGAACUAUUUCAUCAUCUAUCUUUAAGGUUCUAUACAUGAAGUUGAAAUGAUGCUCAAGUUCAGUUCAUUAUAUAUUUAUGUACUUUUAACCAAUAUUAAUGAAAAUUAAUCGGUAAUCUAAUGUGAUACUUUUGCCCUUUGCAUAUUCAUCAUCAUUACCUAAUUUAGUUAUUGUCUAAAUUAAAGAGUAAUUAUUAAUUGACUGAUCAAGUUAUUCUUCUUUUAAUUGAAGACUAAUCUCUAACUAGCUAGUGAGUUCAUGGUAUUAACAUCCACACACACAAAAAUCUGCCUUAAUUAAAAAAUUGAAUUUAUGUUUUUGAGAUUCAAUAAUCCACUGUAUGUAUUGAAGUUUGAAGAAGAUAAAAAACAAAAAAGGUUAUUCAUAUUCUCAAAUAAAAAAAUUUCGGCUUAAAAAAGAAAAGAAAAAAGGUUAUUCAAAGCAAAUCCUCUCAAAAGCAGGUUGUGUAAAUAGAUGGGCCUGGUGAUUCACAAUUAUUGCGCCAUACGAAGCCCACUCUAAAUUUGAAAACCCAUCACAAUAGCAUCCCUCUCGCUCUCAUAUACAAAUCUACCUAUAAAAUCAUUUUUCCUAGAUCAUAUACAGUGAAAUUAAUAUAUAUUUUACUAUUUCCUUUUUAAAGGUUUGGAUGGAAAUGAGAAAUCUAAUCCACUAAACACUAACCACUUUCUUUAUAACUAUUUGAACUUAAGUAAUUGCAAACUCAAAAUACAUUUACAGAGAACUAAGUUAUGCAUAAGGGACAUUUUUUUUUUCUUACCAUAAUAACAAUCUUAAUUAAUUUUUAUCAAUUUUAAGUUUUAUCAUGAAAACACCUGAUAUAUGUGAACUUAUAUAAAGAUUGAUUUGAGCUGCUCAUAUUUUUACUAGGUUGUUAUUUGUAAUCUUAAUAUUUGAGUUCUAACUGCUAUUGUCACUCAUUGAAUAUAUAAUGAAUUUCUUAACUUAUAAUAUUAUCAUUUUACCGUUUAAUGAAUUAAUAACGCAUCAAUUGAGAUUUAAAUAUUAUAAUUCAUUACAUUACUUAAAUCUCAACUACACUCAUACGUGGCACAUUACCUUUACAAAUAUCUAAAUUGUUAUUUUCUCACUUUUUUAUAAUUGAAGGUUAGGAGGUAAAAAUAAUAACACAAGAAUCAAAUAACCUUAGUUGUCGGUGGGAUUUCAAUAGAUGAUCAUCGCGUGCUACAUGCCACACGAGCUCUUUGCUUUACUUAGAUCCUCACAAGUCACAAUAACACAUCAAACAAACCAAAAAAAAAAAAAAAAAAAAAAGGUCAGGACAUUGAGCUGCUUCAUUAAUUAAUACACUGCACGGAUUAUUGCCCCUAAUUUAAAGCUAGCAUUGAUGAAAUCCAAUGUACUCAAUCUAUUACAAUUUUAAGUUUUCUACAUAUAUAUAUAUAUAGCUUUAUUUGCGAAAACAUUUUUUUCCCAAACAUAAAAAUUAUAAUUGUAAUUAAAAUGUUAAUAUAAGAAAAAAAUAAUAUAAGAUUGAUUCAUUUAAUCUCUUUGAAUAAAAAUUAAGCUUUUGGGUAAAAAUAUAUGUAGCAUAAAUAAAUUAGUAUGAAAUUUUAAAAUAGGUGGUAUAUCUUCAAUAAAUUAGCAUUAACAACAAUGUCAUAAUUUGAGUAAAUUUGUCCCUUGUUAAAUCUUUUUCAGAUUCAUUCAAGUAGCUCAUCACUUGUAAUUGUCUAAAUUAAUGUUUUGAAGUAGCUCAUCACUUGUAAUUGUCUAAAUUAAUGUUUGUAAGUCAUCAUUUAAUAUGAUCAUACCCGAUUGCUCUGGUUUGUAAUACAAUAUGGCCAGACAUACUUUCAAACACAAAUACCCCACAACACUCACCCACGUGCUUUUAAGAAAAUAAUAUACAAAUAUUCAAAUAAUAUGUUGGACUUAUCCAAUUUUUCCAUUUAGAAGAAAUUUCAAGAGAAUAAGAAAUAUAAAAAUCAAUAUCUUUAUGUAGAUCUAUAAAUAGUAGUUCAAAUCCACAUAAACAAUGAUUUCACAAUUUUUUUUAAGAUUAAAAGAAAACACGAAUGGUGGAUAAGAAAAAUAAAAUAACACAUGAAAAAUAAGAAGAAAAAAUUGUUUGGAAAGUGUUGGAAUGCAGUGAUUUUCUUAUUGAGAGAUGAGAGGAAAUGUUAGAUGAACCAUAAAAAUGCUAUGGAUGACCCCCCCCACCGGAAGAGAAAGAAUUAACCAAAUAAAAAAAAAGUUACUUGAAGAUUUUUGAUAUUGGAAUAAAAAAAAAAGGUUUUUUUUAUUUUGUAGAAUACCUAAAAUAUGUUAACUUAUAUUUUCUCAAUUAUAACUAUCAAGUGGACUCUAUUUUAUUUUGAAUCUCAUACCAAAUUGAAGUAUUAAAUGUAACCAUUAAUAAGGAUAAUAAAUAUAUAUUUUAUAUUUUCAAAAAUAAAAUAUUAAGUAAAUAACUCACUCAUCCUUCUUUCACUUAAAAUUUUUUAUGCUAAGAAAUUAUUACUAUUAUAAAAAUAUUAAAAAAAUUAAUCGUACUUAUUAAUUUAAAUAAAAAGAAAACUGAUAAUCUCUCGUAAUUUAUUUGAGUCUCAAACCAAAUUGAAAUAUUAAAUGUAACCAUUAAUUAGGUGCCUGGACGUACAUUUGACAGCUGAGUUGAUGACACUUCCUCUACGGUUCUCUCUCUUUUUUUUUUUCUUUUUUUUUUGAAAUAUUAGUUAUAUAUUUCGUCUUCUCAUAUAUUAUCAUGUUACAUACAAUUACGCAAACACACAGUGAAUGUCUCGAAUUAAAUUUUGCAUGAAAAGUAGCUUCGUAGGUCACCGUGUAUAAAUACAAGUGGCCUGGUGUCGUCUCGUCAUCAUACUCACAUUUCACAUUCCAAGUACUUUUGAACAUUCUUCUUCUUCUGCUUCAAAGAAAUGAAAAUGUCACACCCCAUAAGCCAAGCUAAUGAGAAUAGCCCAUACGGAGACCUCACUCGAGAAGAAUUUUACAAGAAGCAUCAAAUAAUUCACGAAGAGAGCUUCAUGCUUAACAAAAGGAAAAUGAAACUCUUCACUCAAACAUGGCGCCCUGAAUACUGUGCCAACAACAACCACCUCCACCACCAGCAGUUCAAAGGGCUUGUAGCAAUGGUUCAUGGCUA
RNAcentral lists this long non-coding RNA (4359 nucleotides) under Citrus maxima (pomelo). RNAcentral describes it as "long non-coding RNA (CMAX_LNC001056)". The record is from RNAcentral. Lineage: Eukaryota; Viridiplantae; Streptophyta; Magnoliopsida; Sapindales; Rutaceae.